UCCACAAUCGCGAGUCAAGAAUUUAGAUUGCAAGAGAAGAUUAGCAUGGCCCCUAUGCAAGGAUGACAUGCAAAUUUAUGAAGCGUUCCAUAUUUAA
Molecule: small nuclear RNA, 97 nt
Organism: Camelus dromedarius (Arabian camel)
Lineage: Eukaryota; Metazoa; Chordata; Mammalia; Artiodactyla; Camelidae
Source: Ensembl